RNAcentral lists this long non-coding RNA (1022 nucleotides) under Equus caballus (horse). Its description in RNAcentral is "lncRNA (ENSECAG00000042044.2)". Lineage: Eukaryota; Metazoa; Chordata; Mammalia; Perissodactyla; Equidae. The record is from RNAcentral.
GCAGCCGGUCUCCGGGAUGAUGGACGAGCACUGACAGGGGAGCGGCAGGGGUGUAGAGGUGUCAAAGGUGCCACCUCCUCCAAGAUAACGGAUUUUGGGUUGAGAAGAUAGACUGUGAUACAAACAACAACCAUGAGGACAACAACAACAUCUCGACAACGACAGCAACAAAUGCCAUUUUCGAGGGCCUAAUUCCCGCCACACACUGUAGUGGAUGUCCUUGACCACCAGUCAAGGUCAAAUGAAACGGAAGUGGUCCGCCCCUUAAUUCAGUCAACAGAGGAGCACGCAAAGUUUAUCCAAGGAGAAGUUGGCUAUAAAUUUUUCCGUCUCCACAGCCACCUGGCCCUGGCCCCAAGCUCGGUCAGUGGAUGCUGCUGAGCAGACUACAGAUCCGUCACUGGGCGAGUCCUGAGCCAGCACAGCUGUCACGGGGAGGAGUGGCUCUGCGCCGCAGCCAUGGCGAGUUUAUCCUUGAGCAUGACAGGUGCAGACAGAGACCUCAGAAUUUGCGGCUCUGCCCUCUGAGUGAAGGAUGGACUGGCUCCUUGAGCCUCUGCUCCACCACCUGCCAUCAGAGGAGGCAACUCUGGCUCGGGGGGAGUGAAGCAGAGGGCAGGAUGUGCGCUCUGUAUGCCUUUGGGGCAACUUGGUGGGUGGGCAGGGUUGCGCAUGGGUGUGGUGACCUUGGCCAGACUGGAAGAAGGGACUUAGAGACUGGGAGCAUGAUGUCUGCGCCCCUCCCUGCACAGUGCAGGCCGGCAGGGCACGACUCUUCCUCACUUUCUCUCCUGCAGUGAUCUAUCCAUCUGACAAAUACUUGCAGAACGCCCACCAUUUGCAGGCACUGUGCCAGGUGCUGGGGACAGAGCAGUGAACAAGACCCCUAGAAGCCUGCCCUUAGGUAGCUUUGAGUCUAGUGAGGGCAGAAGUCAACAAACUCAACAAAGAAAUGAGAAAAAAGGGAACGAGGAGAGCUAGGAAGAGAAUUCAAACAGCCUGGUAAGAAAACUGAAGUCCAG